GGCCUUUUGUUUUAGAUUUAAGGUCAGGCCUGCCCAAUGAUGAAUUGAAUGGCUGCAGUAUUUUGACUGUACAAAGGUAGCAUAAUCAUUAGUUUCUUAAUUAGAAGCUAGUAUGAAUGGUUAAAUGAGAAAAAGACUGUCUUUAAUUAAAUUUUUAUAGAAUUUUAUUUUUAAGUUAAAAAGCUUAAAUAUAAUUAAAAGACGAGAAGACCCUAUAGAGUUUAAUAGUUUCAAUAAUAUUAACUUUAGGAAUUUUAAUUUAAUAUUUGAGAGAUUAUUUAGUUGGGGUGACUAGAAAAUUUAGUUAACUUUUGUUUUAUUAUUACAUUGAUUUAUGAUUAAUUGAUCCAUUAUUAGUGAUUAUAAGAUUAAAUUACCUUAGGGAUAACAGCGUAAUUUUUCUAGUGAGUUCUUAUCAAUAGAAAAGUUUGCGACCUCGAUGUUGGAUUAAAAUUAACGUUUGGUGCAGUAGCUGAAUUGUUAGGUCUGUUCGACCUUUA
RNAcentral lists this ribosomal RNA (500 nucleotides) under Enochrus fimbriatus. Its description in RNAcentral is "partial 16S ribosomal RNA". It matches the Rfam family "Bacterial large subunit ribosomal RNA", at positions 1860 to 2590 of the family's 2925-position model. The record is from RNAcentral. Lineage: Eukaryota; Metazoa; Arthropoda; Insecta; Coleoptera; Hydrophilidae.